CUCCCCGGCUGCUCUUUGCCCCUGCUUUUUGAGUGCUCGAGCGCAGGCGCCUCCAAGGGGUUAACUAAGGGCGAUCUGCCCUCCUGGCGCGUCCCCCGCCCCUCUCCCUGCCUGGAUCCAGAGAGUUCACACUCGGGACAAGAAAGAAAUAGAAAGAAUCCGCCGCGCCCCGUGCGCAGUGCAGCCAUUGGCUGGCAGCGGAGUUCCGCGAAAGGCCACCCCUCGCUUUUGUUUUGUUUGCAGCCUGUUCCGGUUGGCACCGGGGUUGUGCAACCCGCGACUGACGCAGCAGAAAAGAACUGCUAUUAAAACAUUUGCCGGAAAGAGGGCUGGAGAGGGGAGAAGCCUGGGCGUUCCCCUUCGGGGUCAAGAGAGGGCAGCAGCGAGCAGCAGCCUUUUCAGAAUGGGUCAUUCACAUAAUUCCCCCUGAUGUCGGCUUCCUGGUACCUGAAGGCUGCCUGACUUUCCCAGGCGGGACAAGACUCCGGAUCCCCGUAAUGUGAUUAAGGUAAAAAUUAUGUCAGCUUAGGAAAGUCUGCAAAACCAAAGUGAAGACUCAUCUCCCCACUAUGAUUGUGCAGAAUGACUCGUCCAGCAAAAACGAGUCACCGUAUUCUCAAAAAUCACACUCGGGUUAAGAUUUCAGAUGACACAGAAGUCCAACAGAGAAAAGAGCUUUUGAAAAGAAAACGGUGCAGAAUGACAACCUUGUAAAUCCAUUGCACAGUAUAAAUUUUAUUAAGUUAUUCUGUGGUCUUUCGGGAGCUGUUUAUGAAAUUACACAACUGAGUGUUAUCUACUGAAAAUUUACAGCUUGUCCAGGAAAUGUACACCAUGCGUUUUUAAUACAGAGGAGAAUUUUUAUUUAUUUUAAAUGUUAAAAGGCUGUAGCUUCCGCUCACUCAGUUUGAUUU
This is a long non-coding RNA of Podarcis raffonei (Aeolian wall lizard), 914 nucleotides long. RefSeq lists it as uncharacterized. The transcript is spliced from 3 exons. The record is from RefSeq and is a predicted model, not a curated record. NCBI's taxonomy places the organism in Eukaryota, Metazoa, Chordata, Lepidosauria, Squamata, Lacertidae.